UACGUAGGGUGCAAGCGUUGUCCGGAUUUAUUGGGCGUAAAGAGCUCGUAGGCGGCUUGGCAAGUCGGGUGUGAAAACUUCAGGCUCAACCUGGAGAUGCCACUCGAUACUGCUAUGGCUUGAGUCUGGUAGGGGAGCACGGAAUUCCUGGUGUAGCGGUGAAAUGCGCAGAUAUCUGGAGGAACAUCAGUGGCGAAGGCGACACCCUGGACUCAUACUGACACUGAGGUGCGAAAGCGUGGGGAGCAAACAGG
Molecule: ribosomal RNA, 254 nt
Filed under: uncultured bacterium
Lineage: Bacteria
Description: partial 16S ribosomal RNA
Rfam family: Bacterial small subunit ribosomal RNA
Source: RNAcentral